AAACAGACUCUUGCUCUGUCACUCUGAUUGGACUGCAGUGGCACCAUCACUACUCACUGCAGCCUGAACCAUUCUGGGCUCAAGCAAUCCUCCCACCUCAGCCUCCCAAGUAGUUGGGACCACAGGCAUGUGCCACCAUACCCAGCUAACUUUUGUUUAUUUUUUAUAGGGAUGGGAUCUCAUUUUGUUGUCCAGGCUGGAACUUCUGGGGUCAAGCCAUCCACCCGCCUCAGCCUCCCAAAGUGCUGGGAUUACAGGCAUGAGCCACUGCACCCAGCCUGUUUCUCUUUUACACUGAAAAAUUUGGUUCUUAGUAACCUAAUGUAGUUACUUACUUCUUUUAUCCUACUACAUAUAUAAUAGAACCAAAAUAGUAACGUCAAUGUGGUUAUUAAGAUGAAGUCUACUGAAUGCAGUUUGCUUUUGUUUUUUUCCCUGAAUGCAGUUUAAGCUGUAUUUUUAUCCUUAGGCCAAAUAUGGUCAAUGUAGUGUGGAAAGUUAGAUCUGUAUGUUUUUAAUUUUAAAGAAAUUACAUAUUUUUUAAUUUAAUUUUUAUUUUUUUAAACUGCACAUUUACCUUUUCUCUGAGAUGAGGGGGCACAUUUAAAUCUGUGUAUGUCCAGAGUCCGUGAGGAUUGGGAAUCAGUCUAAAGCUGUGCUCGCUUCUCCUCUUCCAUUGCGAUUUGCCUUCUUUAUCCAGUCUUUUGGAAUGCUGAACAAAAAUGUUUUUGGCACAAGGCAGGCGUGAAAACAUAAAGUUAAUAAAAAUCGAAUGCAUAAGCUAGAGCAGAUUAUCCACAGAUUCUUCCAUCUCCAUAUAGAUUAUCACCAUUGCCUGCACCUGUUUUCCUUCUCCAGCCUAUCUGAUGGAAUGGUGCUUCCAUGACAUGUGGUAUUUGGAAGGCUCUUAGCUCUGAUGUAAUCAGGGUUUGACCCAUAGUCACCUGAAAUAGUUCUUCUGUUUCUCUUUGUUCUAUGAACUGAAGGGUCUCAGAAGCCCGUGUUAUGCAAAUACCCUUCCAUCCCCUUCCCUCUCCCCUUGCCUCUAUCCAUGUUCCCUCAGCCUCAGGGUGCUUGCAGGCUAAGAGGAUUGGGUCUCUGGCAUCCUGGAGCUGAACAGCUCGUGUCAGGAAUUCCCCAGGCCCUUGAGUCUCUGGGGUGAGUUGUAGGGGUGUGUAGGGUGCUGGGGAUUAAGAUCUGCUGAGUAGGUGCUUACCAGAGUUAUACUGAAGGACCUGAAGACAGAUCAUCUUCACAUAAUCAGCAUGACCCAUAAUCUGUGAUGUCACUGAGCUUCUUUUAUUUCUGUAGUCAAGGAAUGUGCACAAGUAAUGCAAAUAUAAUUACUUUUAGUCCUGAGGAUUAGGGAACUUGGGGGAUGUUCACAUUACCUGAUGAUGUCAAUAUUGUGUUAUGUUUAAUUUUUUUUAAAAAAGAUGCUUAUUUAUUACUGAAAUAAUCUAAACUGAAUAAAUAACUUUUUAAAAAAUUA
Molecule: long non-coding RNA, 1492 nt
Filed under: Homo sapiens (human)
Lineage: Eukaryota; Metazoa; Chordata; Mammalia; Primates; Hominidae
Description: HSALNT0311049
Source: RNAcentral